UGAGGAAUAUUGCUCAAUGGGCGAAAGCCUGAAGCAGCAACGCCGCGUGCGCGAUGAAGGCCUUCGGGUCGUAAAGCGCUUUUGAGAGGGACGAGAUAGGACGGUACCUCUGGAAUAAGUCACGGCUAACUACGUGCCAGCAGCCGCGGUAAAACGUAGGUGGCAAGCGUUAUCCGGAUUCACUGGGCGUAAAGCGCGUGCAGGUGGCUUCGUAAGUUGGACGUUAAAUCUCCCGGCCUAACCGGGAGGAGUCGUUCAAUACUGCGGGGCUGGAGGGCAGAAGAGGGGGGUGGAAUUGCUGGUGUAGUGGUGAAAUGCGUAGAUAUCGGGAGGAACACCAGUGGCGAAGGCGAUCUUCUGGUCUGUUUCUGACGCUCAGACGCGACAGCUAGGGUAGUAAACGGGAUUAGAGACCCCGGUAAUCCUAGCCGUAAACGAUGUGAACUUGGCGUUGGUGGCUUAAACACCAUCAGUGCCGAAGCAAACGCGAUAAGUUCACCGCCUGGGGACUACGGCCGCAAGGUUA
This 526-nucleotide ribosomal RNA is filed under the name uncultured bacterium. Its description in RNAcentral is "bacterial SSU rRNA". It matches the Rfam family "Bacterial small subunit ribosomal RNA", at positions 355 to 896 of the family's 1533-position model. The record is from RNAcentral.